Molecule: long non-coding RNA, 401 nt
Filed under: Brassica napus (rape)
Lineage: Eukaryota; Viridiplantae; Streptophyta; Magnoliopsida; Brassicales; Brassicaceae
Description: long non-coding RNA (BNAP_LNC016045)
Source: RNAcentral
UUUGUAAAGUUCUUUAAGAACUUAACCAAAAAAUAUAUUGGUUUAAAUUCCAUUAACGUAAAGAUACAUUAUCUUUUGUAACAUCGAAAUUUACUAUAAGGAAUUAUUAAUUUCACAGUAAUAGAAUUUUAAAAAAUCCUGCUUAAAUGAACGAGUGUUACUUAAUCCAAAAGUGUAGUACGACAUUGGCUUCUUCAUAUGGUUUAUUUGAUAAAAGUUUGGAUGAUAUGGUUUAUUUGAUAAAUGUUUUAAUAAAAUGUAUGUAUACUUAAAUAAUCAAUUUUAGAUUGUUAUGUUAUUUAACGAAGUUUAGAAAACAAAUUGUAAAUUGAUUCAUUUUUCACAUUAUCUAAAUCAAUAGGUUUAAAAAUAUAUAAAAAAAUACCAACACACUCAAAAAC